ACCGAGCCUCUGUAAAGCUCCUUCGACGAGUCGAGUAGUUUGGGAAUGCUGCUCUAAAUGGGAGGUAUAUGUCUUCUAAAGCUAAAUACCGGCCAGAGACCGAUAGCGCACAAGUAGAGUGAUCGAAAGAUGAAAAGCACUUUGAAAAGAGGGUUAAAAAGUACGUGAAAUUGUUGAAAGGGAAGCGUUUAUGACCAGACUUGGACCCGGUGAAUCAUCCAGCGUUCUCGCUGGUGCACUUUGCCGGGCUCAGGCCAGCAUCAGUUUGUCCCGGGGGAUAAAGGCUUAGGGAAUGUGGCUCCUCCGGGAGUGUUAUAGCCCUCUGCAUAAUACCCUGGGGCGGACUGAGGUUCGCGC
Molecule: ribosomal RNA, 357 nt
Rfam family: Eukaryotic large subunit ribosomal RNA